This 252-nucleotide ribosomal RNA is filed under the name uncultured bacterium. RNAcentral's name for it is "partial 16S ribosomal RNA". It matches the Rfam family "Bacterial small subunit ribosomal RNA", at positions 524 to 776 of the family's 1533-position model. The record is from RNAcentral.
GACGUAGGGUGCAAGCGUUGUCCGGAUUUACUGGGCGUAAAGAGCGCGUAGGCGGUCCGUUAAGUGUGAAGCUAAAUCUCUUGGCUCAACCAAGAACUAUUUCGCAUACUGACGGGCUGGAGUGAUGCAGAGGUGGAUAGAAUUCCCGGUGUAGCGGUGAAAUGCGUUGAUAUCGGGAGGAAUACCCGUGGCGAAGGCGGUCCACUGGGCAUCAACUGACGCUGAGGCGCGAAGGUCAGGGGAGCAAACGGG